Molecule: transfer RNA, 87 nt
Filed under: Verrucomicrobia bacterium ADurb.Bin118
Lineage: Bacteria; Pseudomonadati; Verrucomicrobiota
Also listed under: 1 other name
Description: tRNA-Leu
Rfam family: tRNA
About the family: Transfer RNA (tRNA) molecules are approximately 80 nucleotides in length. Their secondary structure includes four short double-helical elements and three loops (D, anti-codon, and T loops). Further hydrogen bonds mediate the characteristic L-shaped molecular structure. tRNAs have two regions of fundamental functional importance: the anti-codon, which is responsible for specific mRNA codon recognition, and the 3' end, to which the tRNAs corresponding amino acid is attached (by aminoacyl-tRNA synthetases). tRNAs cope with the degeneracy of the genetic code in two manners: having more than one tRNA (with a specific anti-codon) for a particular amino acid; and 'wobble' base-pairing, i.e. permitting non-standard base-pairing at the 3rd anti-codon position.
Source: RNAcentral
GCCGAUGUGGCGGAAUAGGCAGACGCGCUAGACUCAAAAUCUGGUGCCCGCAAGGGCUUGGGGGUUCGAUUCCCUCCAUCGGCACCA